GUUAAGGAGAAGACAGAUGGCUGCCCAGGGCCCGCUCUAGGAACAUGGCGUGGCUGUGUGUACAAGAAGGACUCAGACACCGGUUCUGUCCUCCAGACAAGGUUACAGUGAUUGUAAUAUUGGAUUCACAAAAUCUGUGUUCAAGGCAACUUUACAGAAAGGGACUACCACUAAUGACAGGAAUGGACUGCAGUGAAUAAUUAGGACACGAUGCACUUGAAGUACUUAGUACCUUUGUUCUUUAAAUUCUUUUUAAUUAUUUAUAUAUUAUAUGUUUUAAAUUAAAGUAUUUGUAAACCUGAA
Suricata suricatta (meerkat) is the source of this 303-nucleotide long non-coding RNA. RefSeq lists it as uncharacterized. Lineage: Eukaryota; Metazoa; Chordata; Mammalia; Carnivora; Herpestidae. The record is from RefSeq and is a predicted model, not a curated record. The transcript is spliced from 2 exons.